UACGGGGCAGCAGUGGGGAAUAUUGCACAAUGGGCGCAAGCCUGAUGCAGCCAUGCCGCGUGUAUGAAAAAGGCCUUCGGGUUGUAAAGUACUUUCAGUCGUGAGGAAGGUGUUAAGGUUAAUAACCUUAGCAAUUGACGUUAGCGACAGAAGAAGCACCGGCUAACUCCGUGCCAGCAGCCGCGGUAAUACGGAGGGUGCGAGCGUUAAUCGGAAUUACUGGGCGUAAAGGGCACGCAGGCGGUUAAUUAAGUUGGAUGUGAAAUCCCCGGGCUUAACCUGGGAAUGGCAUUCAAGACUGGUUAGCUAGAGUCUUGUAGAGGGGGUAGAAUUCCAUGUGUAGCGGUGAAAUGCGUAGAGAUGUGGAGGAAUACCGGUGGCGAAGGCGGCCCCUGGACAAAGACUGACGCUCAUGUGCGAAAGCGUGGGGAGCAAACAGGGAUUAGAUACC
Molecule: ribosomal RNA, 451 nt
Filed under: uncultured bacterium
Lineage: Bacteria
Description: bacterial SSU rRNA
Rfam family: Bacterial small subunit ribosomal RNA
Source: RNAcentral